Molecule: ribosomal RNA, 468 nt
Filed under: uncultured bacterium
Lineage: Bacteria
Description: partial 16S ribosomal RNA
Rfam family: Bacterial small subunit ribosomal RNA
Source: RNAcentral
GACGAACGCUGGCGGCGUGCUUAACACAUGCAAGUCGAACGGAAAGGCCCUGCUUUUGUGGGGUGCUCGAGUGGCGAACGGGUGAGUAACACGUGAGUAACCUGCCCUUGACUUUGGGAUAACUUCAGGAAACUGGGGCUAAUACCGGAUAGGAGCUCCUGCUGCAUGGUGGGGGUUGGAAAGUUUCGGCGGUUGGGGAUGGACUCGCGGCUUAUCAGCUUGUUGGUGGGGUAGUGGCUUACCAAGGCUUUGACGGGUAGCCGGCCUGAGAGGGUGACCGGCCACAGUGGGAAUGGAAUACGGCCCAGACUCCUACGGGAGGCAGCAGUGGGGAAGAUUGCACAAUGGGCGGAAGCCUGAUGCAGCAACGCCGCGUGCGGGAUGACGGCCUUCGGGUUGGAAACCGCUUUCGCCUGUGACGAAGCGUGAGUGACGGUAAUGGGUAAAGAAGCACCGGCUAACUACGUG